GAUGGGAGGGAGGAGUAACAAAAGUGAAAACAAAAACUAAAAACUGAAAUCUAUUUGAAAUUGUUUUCACUUUCAAGUUUUUGUUUUCACUUUUGUUACUCCCCCCGCUCCAAUC
RNAcentral lists this microRNA precursor (115 nucleotides) under Prunus dulcis (almond). RNAcentral's name for it is "sRNA ncRNA". The record is from RNAcentral. Lineage: Eukaryota; Viridiplantae; Streptophyta; Magnoliopsida; Rosales; Rosaceae.